Molecule: ribosomal RNA, 497 nt
Filed under: uncultured bacterium
Lineage: Bacteria
Description: partial 16S ribosomal RNA
Rfam family: Bacterial small subunit ribosomal RNA
Source: RNAcentral
GAUGAACGCUGGCGGUGUGCCUAAUACAUGCAAGUCGAGCGAACAGACGAGGAGCUUACUCCUCUGACGUUAGCGGCGGACGGGUGAGUAACACGUGGAUAACCUACCUAUAAGACUGGGAUAACUUCGGGAAACCGGAGCUAAUACCGGAUAACAUGUUGAACCGCAUGGUUCCACAGUGAAAGACGGUCUUGCUGUCACUUAUAGAUGGGUCCGCGUCGCAUUAGCUAGUUGGUAAGGUAACGGCUUACCAAGGCAACGAUGCGUAGCCGACCUGAGAGGGAGAUCGGCCACACUGGAACAGAGCCACAUUCCAGACUCCUACAGGAGGCAGCAGUAGGGAAUCUUCCGCAAUGGGCGAAAGCCGGACGGAGCAACGCCGCGUGAGUGAAGAAGGACUUCGGAUCGGAGAACGCUGUUAUUAGGGAAGAACAAAUGUGUAAGUAACUAUGCACGUCUUGACGGUACCUAAUCAGAAAGCCACGGCUAACUACGUG